RNAcentral lists this ribosomal RNA (312 nucleotides) under Triticum aestivum (bread wheat). RNAcentral describes it as "partial small subunit ribosomal RNA". Lineage: Eukaryota; Viridiplantae; Streptophyta; Magnoliopsida; Poales; Poaceae. The record is from RNAcentral.
CCGAUCCCCCUCAAAAUCAAGGUGUUUCUUUGGCAAAUGUUCCGCGACCGUCUCCCGUCGUCCAACAAAGUUGCCAAGAGAAAGGGACCUUCGGAUGGUAGUUGUGCGGUUUGUGGGGCUCAUGAGGAUGCCAACCACAUCUUUUUCAACUGCCACCUCGCCCGGUUUGCUUGGAAUGCGGCCCGGGAAGCCUUUGGGCAGAACUGGAACCCCCAUGCCGGUGGGGAGCUGUGCACCAUUCUCAGUGUCCAUAGGAGUGGUUUUGCUUGGGUCCUUUGGUGUUGUGUAGGGGCAUUCUUGUGGUCUCUUUGA